Molecule: ribosomal RNA, 471 nt
Filed under: uncultured bacterium
Lineage: Bacteria
Description: partial 16S ribosomal RNA
Rfam family: Bacterial small subunit ribosomal RNA
Source: RNAcentral
UGGGGAAUAUUGGACAAUGGGGGGAACCCUGAUCCAGCCAUGCCGCGUGUGUGAAGAAGGCCUUAUGGUUGUAAAGCACUUUAAGCGAGGAGGAGGCUACUAGUAUUAAUACUACUGGAUAGUGGACGUUAUCGCAGAAUAAGCACCGGCUAACUCUGUGCCAGCAGCCGCGGUAAUACAGAGGGUNCGAGCGUUAAUCGGAUUUACUGGGCGUAAAGCGUGCGUAGGCGGCCAUUUAAGUCAAAUGUGAAACCCCGAGCUUAACUUGGGAAUUGCAUUCGAUACUGGAUGGCNAGAGUAUGGGAGAGGAUGGUAGAAUUCCAGGUGUAGCGGUGAAAUGCGUAGAGAUCUGGAGGAAUACCGAUGGCGAAGGCAGCCAUCUGGCCUAAUACUGACGCUGAGGUACGAAAAGCAUGGGGAGCAAAACAGGAUUAGAUACCCUGGUANUCCAUGCCGUAAACGAUGUCUACU